Molecule: small nuclear RNA, 103 nt
Organism: Ailuropoda melanoleuca (giant panda)
Lineage: Eukaryota; Metazoa; Chordata; Mammalia; Carnivora; Ursidae
Source: Ensembl
GUGCUUGGGAGUCACAUACACUAAAACUGGAGCCAUGCGGACAAGACGAGCAUGGCCCCGGAGCAAAGAUGACAUGCAAAUUUGUGAAGCUUUCCAUAGUUUU